CCUACGGGGGGCAGCAGUGAGGAAUAUUGGUCAAUGGGCGAGAGCCUGAACCAGCCAAGUCGCGUGCAUGAUGACGGCCCUACGGGUUGUAAACUUCUUUUGUCAGGGGGCAAUUGGGUCCACACGUGGGCUUAGGGAGAGUACCUGAAGAAAAAGCAUCGGCUAACUCCGUGCCAGCAGCCGCGGUAAUACGGAGGAUGCAAGCGUUAUCCGGUUUUUUUGGGUUUAAAGGUUGCGUAGGCGGGCUGUUAAGUCAGCGGUAAAAGCCCGGGGUUCAACUCCGGCGAGCCGUUGAAACUGGCUGUCUUGAGAGGUCGUGCGGUAGGCGGAAUGCGCAGUGUAGCGGUGAAAUGCUUAGAUAUUGCGCAGAACUCCGAUUGCGAAGGCAGCAUACCGGCGGCGAUCUGACGCUGAGGCACGAAAGCGUGGGUAUCGAACAGGAUUAGAUACCCUAGUAGUC
This 460-nucleotide ribosomal RNA is filed under the name uncultured bacterium. Its description in RNAcentral is "partial 16S ribosomal RNA". It matches the Rfam family "Bacterial small subunit ribosomal RNA", at positions 338 to 795 of the family's 1533-position model. The record is from RNAcentral.